RNAcentral lists this long non-coding RNA (1065 nucleotides) under Homo sapiens (human). RNAcentral's name for it is "HSALNT0181245". Lineage: Eukaryota; Metazoa; Chordata; Mammalia; Primates; Hominidae. The record is from RNAcentral.
CUAUGCCAGCUGGAGACACCCGGCCUCGGAGGCUCACGUUAUGCCGACCCCCACCCCAGUGCUGUCACGCCACUGCCAGUUGUUCCUCAUCUUAAUCCUACUUCAUGGUGGUCAUUUUAAAAGCAUCAGAGCUUUUGACACAGAACCAAAGCAGGGCAUUGCAGUGAAUGGGCCCUUUCUCUCCAUUGGUACCUGUAUUUGGUUUUCUUCUUUUUUGCUAUGGAUGAAGAUAUCUCAUGGAUGAAUGAUGCCAUUGUGAGCUUGGAGAAUACUAAUAUGGCAACAGGUCACAACAUGCGUGACAGGAAAUAGAACAACAGUAGAAAAACAUCUGGGACAUGCCUUAUGGACAAGCGACAUAAAGACCAGACAAGAAAGAAGAAAGGAAAAGAGGUGAGAAGUCACAUUAGAAAAAACUUACAGGAAAGCAUUGAUUCAACCAAGGGCAUAAACUUCAUUGAGCAGCUGGAAAAAUUGACAUUGUCUGGUACUUGGAAAAGAGGUUUUGUUCUGAACACUCCUGGUCUUGGAUAAAGGGAGGAAAUUUUAACCAUCCCAGAGAGUCAGGGGCUGCUUCUGCAACUGAGGUUUGUGCCUGGUACUUACUGGAAAUGGCUUUGCUUCCUGAAAGGUGAAGGUGGAGAAAGCUUAUUGAGAGAUCUCUGAUUGUGGGUGUGAGUUGCCUGGGGGAAGGAAGUGACACAUGAUAAAUUAAAAUCAGUUGCAUGGUCAAUGGGUAAAAUGAAUAGAGCUAAAGUCUGAAUCUCACAUAUACAUAAUUUUUUUUAUCAAUAUGUAUUGUGGGAAUUCUCAUUGUAAGAAAGUUAUUGCAAAUCAGCUUGUAAGUCCCCUAAGAAGCCUUUCUUGAUUCCCUUCCCUUCCUGAUUUUUUUCCUCCCUCUCUAUUUCUAUAACUAGGGUGACCAGGUGUCCCAGUUUGCCCAGGACAGUCCUAGUUUGCACCUGUUGUCCUGAUGUAAUCAUCAAUAGUACUCCCUUUCAUUUUCCUAAGUAUCCUGGUUUCACUCUUUCAUAAUACUCUGCACUUCUCCAUAUCAUAGCACUC